Non-coding RNA from Podarcis lilfordi (Lilford's wall lizard), 74 nucleotides. The record is from the annotation of a GenBank genome assembly. Lineage: Eukaryota; Metazoa; Chordata; Lepidosauria; Squamata; Lacertidae.
GAGUGACUGCAUCUGAGUGGUAGAGUAUCUGCUUUGCAUGCAGAAGGGCCUUGGUUCAAUCCCAGGCAUCUCUG